This 1376-nucleotide ribosomal RNA is filed under the name uncultured bacterium. RNAcentral's name for it is "16S ribosomal RNA". It matches the Rfam family "Bacterial small subunit ribosomal RNA", at positions 30 to 1393 of the family's 1533-position model. The record is from RNAcentral.
UGAACGCUGGCGGCAGGCCUAACACAUGCAAGUCGAACGGCAGCACAGAAGAGUUUGCUCUUUGGGUGGCGAGUGGCGGACGGGUGAGUAAUGUCUGGGAAACUGCCCGAUGGAGGGGGAUAACUACUGGAAACGGUAGCUAAUACCGCAUAACGUCGCAAGACCAAAGUGGGGGACCUUCGGGCCUCACACCAUCGGAUGUGCCCAGAUGGGAUUAGCUAGUAGGUGGGGUAAUGGCUCACCUAGGCGACGAUCCCUAGCUGGUCUGAGAGGAUGACCAGCCACACUGGAACUGAGACACGGUCCAGACUCCUACGGGAGGCAGCAGUGGGGAAUAUUGCACAAUGGGCGCAAGCCUGAUGCAGCCAUGCCGCGUGUAUGAAGAAGGCCUUCGGGUUGUAAAGUACUUUCAGCGGGGAGGAAGGCGGUGAGGUUAAUAACCUUGCCGAUUGACGUUACCCGCAGAAGAAGCACCGGCUAACUCCGUGCCAGCAGCCGCGGUAAUACGGAGGGUGCAAGCGUUAAUCGGAAUUACUGGGCGUAAAGCGCACGCAGGCGGUCUGUUAAGUCAGAUGUGAAAUCCCCGGGGCUUUAACCUGGGAACUGCAUUUGAAACUGGCAGGCUUGAGUCUCGUAGAGGGGGGUAGAAUUUCCAGGUGUAGCGGUGAAAUGCGUAGAGAUCUGGAGGAAUACCGGUGGCGAAGGCGGCCCCCUGGACGAAGACUGACGCUCAGGUGCGAAAGCGUGGGGAGCAAACAGGAUUAGAUACCCUGGUAGUCCACGCCGUAAACGAUGUCGACUUGGAGGUUGUGCCCUUGAGGCGUGGCUUCCGGAGCUAACGCGUUAAGUCGACCGCCUGGGGAGUACGGCCGCAAGGUUAAAACUCAAAUGAAUUGACGGGGGCCCGCACAAGCGGUGGAGCAUGUGGUUUAAUUCGAUGCAACGCGAAGAACCUUACCUGGCCUUGACAUCCAGAGAACUUAGCAGAGAUGCUUUGGUGCCUUCGGGAACUCUGAGACAGGUGCUGCAUGGCUGUCGUCAGCUCGUGUUGUGAAAUGUUGGGUUAAGUCCCGCAACGAGCGCAACCCUUAUCCUUUGUUGCCAGCGGUUCGGCCGGGAACUCAAAGGAGACUGCCGGUGAUAAACCGGAGGAAGGUGGGGAUGACGUCAAGUCAUCAUGGCCCUUACGGCCAGGGCUACACACGUGCUACAAUGGCGCAUACAAAGAGAAGCGACCUCGCGAGAGCAAGCGGACCUCAUAAAGUGCGUCGUAGUCCGGAUUGGAGUCUGCAACUCGACUCCAUGAAGUCGGAAUCGCUAGUAAUCGUAGAUCAGAAUGCUACGGUGAAUACGUUCCCGGGCCUUGUACACACCGC